AACGAACGCUGGCGGCAUGCCUAACACAUGCAAGUCGAACGAGACCUUCGUGUCUAGUGGCGCACGGGUGCGUAACGCGUGGGAACCUGCCCUUAGGUUCGGCAUAACUCCCCGAAAGGGGUGCUAAUACCGGAUAAUGUUUUCGGACCAAAGAUUUAUCGCCUUUGGAUGGGCCCGCGUUGGAUUAGCUAGUUGGUAGGGUACAAGCCUUCCAAGGCGAAGAUCCAUAGCUGGUCUGAGAGGAUGAUCAGCCACACUGGGACUGGGACACGGCCUAGGCGAGGAAGGGAUGCAGAAGAGGGGAAUAUGGGACAAAGGGCGAAAGACUGACCCAGCAAGGCCGAGGGAGUGAUGAAGGUCGUAGGGUUGUAAAGCCCUUUUAGAAGGGAUGAUAAUGACAGUACCGGGAGAAUAAGCACCGGCUAACUCCGUG
This 433-nucleotide ribosomal RNA is filed under the name uncultured bacterium. RNAcentral's name for it is "partial 16S ribosomal RNA". It matches the Rfam family "Bacterial small subunit ribosomal RNA", at positions 29 to 507 of the family's 1533-position model. The record is from RNAcentral.